RNAcentral lists this ribosomal RNA (497 nucleotides) under uncultured bacterium. RNAcentral's name for it is "partial 16S ribosomal RNA". It matches the Rfam family "Bacterial small subunit ribosomal RNA", at positions 28 to 507 of the family's 1533-position model. The record is from RNAcentral.
GAUGAACGCUGGCGGCGUGCCUAAUACAUGCAAGUCGAGCGAACGGACGAGAAGCUUGCUUCUCUGAUGUUAGCGGCGGACGGGUGAGUAACACGUGGAUAACCUACCUAUAAGACUGGGAUAACUUCGGGAAACCGGAGCUAAUACCGGAUAAUAUUUUGAACCGCAUGGUUCAAAAGUGAAAGACGGUCUUGCUGUCACUUAUAGAUGGAUCCGCGCUGCAUUAGCUAGUUGGUAAGGUAACGGCUUACCAAGGCAACGAUGCAUAGCCGACCUGAGAGGGUGAUCGGCCACACCUGAACUGAGACACGGUCCAGACUCCUACGGGGGGCAGCAGUAGGGAAUCUUCCGCAAUGGGCGAAAGCCUGACGGAGCAACGCCGCGUGAGUUAUGAAGGUCUUCGGAUCGUAAAACUCUGUUAUUAGGGAAGAACAUAUGUGUAAGUAACUGUGCACAUCUUGACGGUUCCUAAUCAGAAAGCCACGGCUAACUUCGUG